CACUCCUGCGGGAGGCAGCAGUGGGGAAUAUUGGACAAUGGGCGCAAGCCUGAUCCAGCCAUGCCGCGUGAGUGAUGAAGGCCCUAGGGUUGUAAAGCUCUUUUGUGCGGGAAGAUAAUGACGGUACCGCAAGAAUAAGCCCCGGCUAACUUCGUGCCAGCAGCCGCGGUAAUACGAAGGGGGCUAGCGUUGCUCGGAAUCACUGGGCGUAAAGGGUGCGUAGGCGGGUCUUUAAGUCAGGGGUGAAAUCCUGGAGCUCAACUCCAGAACUGCCUUUGAUACUGAAGAUCUUGAGUUCGGGAGAGGUGAGUGGAACUGCGAGUGUAGAGGUGAAAUUCGUAGAUAUUCGCAAGAACACCAGUGGCGAAGGCGGCUCACUGGCCCGAUACUGACGCUGAGGCACGAAAGCGUGGGGAGCAAACAGGAUUAGAUACCCUAGUAGUCC
This 445-nucleotide ribosomal RNA is filed under the name uncultured organism. Its description in RNAcentral is "partial 16S ribosomal RNA". It matches the Rfam family "Bacterial small subunit ribosomal RNA", at positions 334 to 796 of the family's 1533-position model. The record is from RNAcentral.